Molecule: small nuclear RNA, 105 nt
Filed under: Vicugna pacos (alpaca)
Lineage: Eukaryota; Metazoa; Chordata; Mammalia; Artiodactyla; Camelidae
Source: RNAcentral
GUGGUUUUUUAGGCAGCAUAUAGACAAAAAUUGGAAUGAUACAGUGAAGAUUAGCAUGGCCCCUAAGUAAGCAUGAUGUAAAUUCAUGAAUUAGUCCAUAUUUAA